Molecule: ribosomal RNA, 253 nt
Filed under: uncultured bacterium
Lineage: Bacteria
Description: partial 16S ribosomal RNA
Rfam family: Bacterial small subunit ribosomal RNA
Source: RNAcentral
UACGAAGGAUCCAAGCGUUAUCCGGAUUUAUUGGGUUUAAAGGGUGCGUAGGCGGGCUAUUAAGUCAGUGGUGAAAGCCUGCAGCUUAACUGCAGAAUUGCCAUUGAUACUGAUGGUCUUGAAUACCGUGGAGGUCAGUAGAAUAUGUCAUGUAGCGGUGAAAUGCUUAGAUAUGACAUAGAAUACCAAUUGCGGAGGCAGCUGGCUACACGAAUAUUGACACUCAGGCACGAAAGCGUGGGGAUCAAACAGG